This 510-nucleotide ribosomal RNA is filed under the name Triticum aestivum (bread wheat). RNAcentral's name for it is "partial small subunit ribosomal RNA". Lineage: Eukaryota; Viridiplantae; Streptophyta; Magnoliopsida; Poales; Poaceae. The record is from RNAcentral.
AUGCACCAAAACGCGGACAAGCGGUCUGCGGGGACACAGGCCACGCUCAAGUUCAACCCCGACGGGAAAAAGAAAGGAGCAUGGAGCAAGUUGUUUGGUUCUACCACCUCUGCAACGAGCUCUUCCACAUCAGGCCCAUCGCCUGUGCUUUUGGGUGGUGGGGAGUUAGCGAAGUACCUCAACAGCGAUAAAGUCAACUUCAAUGAAGAGGAAGAGGAAGACUUCGACAUAAUUCAGUGGUGGCAUGAACACAAGCUUACAUAUCCGGUGCUUUCCAUAUUAGCACGGGAUGUAUUAUCAGUACCCGUCUCAUCGACAUCAUCGGAGUCUGCUUUUAGCCUAGCUGGAAGAAUACUUGAGGAAAGAAGAACGAGUUUGACCCCGGAUAUGGUGAGAACACUCAUGGCCGUGAAAGACGGAGAACUAGCCAAAAGGAAAGCCCAACACACCGCUGAAAACAGAGAACUGAUGGCCACGUUCGAAAAUCUCGAAGAUGAUGAAGACGAAUAG